This 50-nucleotide microRNA precursor is filed under the name Moschus moschiferus (Siberian musk deer). RNAcentral describes it as "miRNA (ENSMMSG00000006633.1)". The record is from RNAcentral. Lineage: Eukaryota; Metazoa; Chordata; Mammalia; Artiodactyla; Moschidae.
ACGGCAGCGCCGCGGGAGCCUCGGUUGGCCUCGGAUAGCCGGUCCCCCGC